Molecule: long non-coding RNA, 1952 nt
Organism: Schistocerca nitens (vagrant locust)
Lineage: Eukaryota; Metazoa; Arthropoda; Insecta; Orthoptera; Acrididae
Exons: 4
Source: RefSeq, a predicted model, not a curated record
UCCAAGCGCGUCAUGGUUUGACAGUACAUAACAUUCUAAUUUAAACAAUCUGCUUAUGUUUUAUUGCAGUCUAACUUAAACAAUAUGCUUAUGUUUUAUUGCUAGUUUAUUCCAAUUUGCCUUUCUCUGUUUACUUCUUGGACAACUGCAAACGACGCGCAAGAUAUUGUCAGCACUGUACAUAAGCGCCAUUUACAUGCGCCGCUAAACAGUGUCAACUGACGCAUGUCACCAGUCAACUGUUCAAUUUUCAAUAUAAAUCAGGAGUAAUUAAGGUCAGACUUCUCUUGUGGUGCAUCUCUUAAUCGAUGUUUUGUGGAGACAUAAGAAGAGAACAAUGUGUGCCAUCUGUUGCCUCUCAGACAUGGGCACCGCCAGCCUCGGCGAACCCUGAGACACUUUGGAACGAGAUGUGCUUGACGGCAUCUCACGUACAUAACUUCUGGUCGGAGACCUGCGAAUGAUUACUAUCGUAACACUGAUGUAAAGAUCCUAAUCAUCUAACGGUAAUUAUUCGAAACGGGAACACUGGAAUAAAUAAAUCGAACUUAUACCACGCCUGUAUUGUGUUACAGAAUUGGAUUCUAUCGAAUUUUGCUGAUUAGAAGUGUAGCCUAUGGAAGGACACCAGAAGAAAGGAAAUAGAGAGUACAGUGUAGUAAAGUGAUGUGACAAAUUGCGGGCACAUUUAACAUGGCAAACACAAUGAAACCAGCCACAGAUAUCUGUUGAUGGAAGGUACUGAAGCUCUUUAAAAUGGCAACUCCUCAAGAGAAGGCACAAUGUGUGACCUGGUUUAUUGAGACAAAAUCAGAUUGGAUGUUCAGACUCAACGAAACUUCAGAACAAAGUAUGGAAGAGAUCCACCAUCGCACUCUUCAAUUCGUGCAUGGCACAAAAAAUUUAUGGAGACAGAGACAGUGUUGGACAAAGGGAGGAGUGGGCGACCAAGAAUAUUCAAGGAAAACAGCGAUCAUGUUUUAAAUGUCUUCACUCAUUCACCUACAAAGUCCAUCCGCACUGCUGCCAGACUGUUGCACCUACCACGUUCAACUUUGCCUCCACAAGAACUUACGGUUGUAUGCUUACAAAGUGCAACUGCUACAGACAAUUGAGUCAAAUGACAAGCCCAAAAUGGACAGAGUUUGCACUCAACAUGCUUGAACGCCUUUCAGUGACAAAGCAACUUUUCAUGAUUCUGGGACAUUAAACAUACACAAUGUGAGAAUCUGGGGAUCUGAAUACCCCUAUGUGACUAGGGAGCUUCACUGGGAUAGUGCAAAAGUGAAUGUGUGGUGUGGAAUCAUGUGCAACCGAAUAAUUGAUCCAUUUUUCUUCAACGAGUCAACAAUUACUGCAGAUGUUUACCUCAACCUUCUGACCGAAUAUGUAGCACCACAACUGAUUGACUUAGAACAAACUAUCAUUUUCCAGCAAGAUGGUGCACUACCACAUUGGGAACUGCAUGUUCAUCGGUUCCUCAAUGAAACAUUUCCAGGCAGAUGGCUUGGGAGGGAUGGGCCGAUUCCUUGGCCACCGUGUUUGCCAGAUAUCACUCCCUUGGACUUUUUUUAUGGGGGUAUGUAAAAGAUAUCAUUUAUCAAACACAGGUAUGGGACAUUGCUGACUUGAAGCAAAGGAUUCGUAAUGCCAUUGCCACCAUUGAUGACGCUAUGCUACAGCGAACAUGGCAAGAAAUCGAGUACCAUCUUGAUGUGCCCAUAUAGAGGUCUACUAAACACUGUCAAAAAAACUUUUAUAAACACUGAUUACAAUAAAGGACAUGUUGUUAAAAUACUUCAAAACUGCCAUUGUAAUAAAAUUUUGAAGUUGUAAAGGGACUUUAUGGACACCCUGUAUAUUUCCCUGUCAAAAGUCAGAUAAUUACUGGACAACUUUGUAUUUCAACAAGUAAUAACCAUUCUAUUUAUAAUCUUGUCAUUUAAUAACAG